This 331-nucleotide ribosomal RNA is filed under the name uncultured bacterium. Its description in RNAcentral is "bacterial SSU rRNA". It matches the Rfam family "Bacterial small subunit ribosomal RNA", at positions 100 to 431 of the family's 1533-position model. The record is from RNAcentral.
GGACGGGUGAGUAACACGUGAGCAACCUGCCUUUCAGAGGGGGAUAACGGCUGGAAACGGUCGCUAAUACCGCAUGACGUGUUCGGAUGGCAUCAUCUGAACAUCAAAGAUUUAUCGCUGAAAGAUGGGCUCGCGUCUGAUUAGAUAGUUGGUGGGGUAACGGCCUACCAAGUCUACGAUCAGUAGCCGGACUGAGAGGUUGAACGGCCACAUUGGGACUGAGAUACGGCCCAGACUCCUACGGGGGGCAGCAGUGGGGAAUAUUGCACAAUGGGGGAAACCCUGAUGCAGCAACGCCGCGUGAAGGAUGACGGUUUUCGGAUUGUAAACU